Molecule: ribosomal RNA, 29 nt
Filed under: Psylla buxi (boxwood psyllid)
Lineage: Eukaryota; Metazoa; Arthropoda; Insecta; Hemiptera; Psyllidae
Description: partial 28S ribosomal RNA
Source: RNAcentral
CGACCUCGGGCUGUACGGGAUACCCCCGG